GCUGAUGUUCCAGCUCUAUUAGCUCAGCGUGACUCAUGCAAUAAGUGGGUUUCAAGAUUGGCUAGGUUCUAGGCAACAAUUCAACCAAGAACUCUACCUCACAUAGAGGAGGUAGAUCAGAAAGUUCGAUGGGAAAGACAUCCAUAAAAUUACAAACAAUUGGUAUGUAACAUACAACAGGAUCAGUGCCCAUAUUCUUGUUAAUU
RNAcentral lists this long non-coding RNA (206 nucleotides) under Carica papaya (papaya). RNAcentral's name for it is "long non-coding RNA (CPAP_LNC015264)". The record is from RNAcentral. Lineage: Eukaryota; Viridiplantae; Streptophyta; Magnoliopsida; Brassicales; Caricaceae.